UAUUUUCUCUAUCUAAUAAGGGUUUUCAAAAGGAAACUUCUUGUUCUCCGCCGCUGCAUCCAGUGUUCUUCUAAGAUGUUGAAGAAGACAAGGUUCCUAACUGGCGGAUGAUUUUUAUUUUUCUCUAGGUGAUCAACACUCGAGGUCCUAUGUGGUGUGUAUCGUUGGCAAUCAACUUUUAGAACCAGAACUCGAUUGGAUAAUUUAUCUUAAUAUGAUUAUGUAGAUUCAAUUGAAGAAGUUAAUCUUUUUUCACAAUUGAUUUAAGUAUUUCCUAAAGCAUGAACUGACCAUCAAGUUAAGUGAAAAUGGAUCAUGAUAAUUCUCAAAAGAGCUUGGUAAUGGCGUCCACAACCCCAAGUCUUGAAAUAAAGUUCAACAGCCAUAAUGCAUGAAUUGUGGCUUCAUAACAUGCCAUAAAUUCUUCUUCCAAAGUGGAUGGAGCAAUGAUAGAUUUUUUAGCACACUUCCAUGAUACUGAUCAUUCAACUAAUAAGAACAAGUAACCAAAUGUGAACUUUCUAGUGUCAGCACAUCUAGAAAAAUUUGAAUCCGAAUGUACAGUAACUUCUAAGUGAUUGGAUCUCCUAUACAUGAGCAUGUAAUCCUUUGUUCCUUUAAGAUACCUCUAGACUUUC
Molecule: long non-coding RNA, 638 nt
Organism: Solanum tuberosum (potato)
Lineage: Eukaryota; Viridiplantae; Streptophyta; Magnoliopsida; Solanales; Solanaceae
Exons: 3
Source: RefSeq, a predicted model, not a curated record